This is a non-coding RNA of Lactuca sativa (garden lettuce), 767 nucleotides long. NCBI's taxonomy places the organism in Eukaryota, Viridiplantae, Streptophyta, Magnoliopsida, Asterales, Asteraceae. The record is from RefSeq and is a predicted model, not a curated record.
UCCGGCAAUGCUUUCUUGCCCGAUCAGCAGCCACACGAAUGGGGAAGGCAAAACAGAUUGGUAAUCUCCUAGGGGUGUUUUAGGUGGUUCAAUCGAUUGAAUCGGAUGGAGAGGAGGGCGAAGCGAGGCGACUGUGAUCCUCGGACGGGAAGGAAGAGACGAAGCAGCGGGGCUGCUCGUCUUCUGUCUUGGAAGUACUUGCGAAGGGAAAGAGGUCCGAAGGGGUCUGGGAGGCGUCGCGAACAGCAGCAGCGACGAUGACCGGUGUUCGGUGGGUUUGCUUGUCUUCUGUCUUGGAAGUUGUUGCGAAGGCGAAAGAGCUCCGAAGGGUACUGGGAGGCGUCUCGAGCAGCAGCAGCGACGAUGACCGGUGUUCGGUGGGUUUGCUCGACGGGAGGGGAAGAUAUGGGUGCGACGGGGAAGAUGAUUCUGCAACAACAGGGAAGAGGGAAGGAUAGAAGCAUUAACGAACAGGGGGUCUUGGCUGUGGUCUUUGAUGGACGAAUUAACGAAGCAAUGCAGGUAAUGUAGAAGAGGAUGAGUGUGAAGGGGGUUGUCUCCAGUGACAAACGGAAACUUUGGUUUGAGUGUAGUCAUGUCAAUUGUGUAUAACACAUCUCCUUUUGUGUGAAAUUUUGGAUGUGUUAGAAUUUGUAGCUGGCAUUAUGUUUAAUAUAUGUAUUUUGUGUGAAAAUUGCAAAUAUAGAAUUUCUUCAUGUAUUAUGUGUAUGCAUUGAUUUAAUUUGUAUUAUGUAUUUGUUUUAAUA